UACGUAGGGUGCGAGCGUUGUCCGGAAUUAUUGGGCGUAAAGAGCUCGUAGGCGGUGUGUCACGUCGGCCGUGAAAACCUGCAGCUUAACUGUGGGCGUGCGGUCGAUACGGGCAUCACUGGAGUUCGGCAGGGGAGACUGGAAUUCCUGGUGUAGCGGUGAAAUGCGCAGAUAUCAGGAGGAACACCGGUGGCGAAGGCGGGUCUCUGGGCCGAUACUGACGCUGAGGCGCGAAAGCGUGGGGAGCAAACCGG
RNAcentral lists this ribosomal RNA (254 nucleotides) under uncultured bacterium. Its description in RNAcentral is "partial 16S ribosomal RNA". It matches the Rfam family "Bacterial small subunit ribosomal RNA", at positions 524 to 776 of the family's 1533-position model. The record is from RNAcentral.